This 465-nucleotide ribosomal RNA is filed under the name Kuwanina parva. Its description in RNAcentral is "bacterial SSU rRNA". It matches the Rfam family "Eukaryotic small subunit ribosomal RNA", at positions 74 to 473 of the family's 1831-position model. The record is from RNAcentral. Lineage: Eukaryota; Metazoa; Arthropoda; Insecta; Hemiptera; Eriococcidae.
CAGUACGGUGAAACCGCGAAAGGCUCAUUAAAUCAGUUAUGGUUCCUUAGAUAGUACCCACGUUACUUGGAUAACUGUGGUAAUUCUAGAGCUAAUACAUGCCGACAGAGUUCCGACCAGCGCUGGCAGUGGUUCGCCGCUGUCGGUGUUCGGAAGGAACGCUUUUAUUAGAUCAAAACCGGCCGGGCGACCGCGUCGUUCGCGACCGGUCGCCAGUGGCCCGCGCAAUGACUUGGUGACUCUGAAUAACUUUGAGCUGAUCGCACGGCCUUGUGCCGGCGACGUAUCUUUCAAAUGUCUGCCUUAUCAACUGUCGAUGGUAAGUUCGACGCUUACCAUGGUGUUAACGGGUAACGGGGAAUCAGGGUUCGAUUCCGGAGAGGGAGCCUGAGAAACGGCUACCACAUCCAAGGAAGGCAGCAGGCGCGUAAAUUACCCACUCUUCUUUCGAGGAGGUAGUGACGA